CCCUUAGAUGUUCUGGGCUGCACGCGUGCUACAAUGGCGUUUCCAGCAAGUCUGCGAACCCGAGAGGGCCAGCGGAUCUUCGAAUUGGCGUCGUGAUCGGGACAGUCGAUUGCAAUUAUUUGACUCAAACGAGGAAUUCCUUGUAAUCGCGAUUCAUCAUAUCGCGCUGAAUACGUCCCUGCCCUUUGUACACACCGCCCGUCGCUCCUACCGAUUGAGCGAUCCGGUAAAUGUUUUGGAUUGGUGCCGGGGCGGCUAGCUGCCGGUCGCUACGAAAUUUUGUGAACCUUAUCGCUUAGAGGAAGGAAAGGUCGUAACA
This 319-nucleotide ribosomal RNA is filed under the name uncultured eukaryote. RNAcentral's name for it is "partial 18S ribosomal RNA". It matches the Rfam family "Eukaryotic small subunit ribosomal RNA", at positions 1470 to 1796 of the family's 1831-position model. The record is from RNAcentral.